Molecule: long non-coding RNA, 883 nt
Organism: Rhipicephalus sanguineus (brown dog tick)
Lineage: Eukaryota; Metazoa; Arthropoda; Arachnida; Ixodida; Ixodidae
Exons: 3
Source: RefSeq, a predicted model, not a curated record
AGCAUUGUCGCUUGGGGUUUGGCAUUCAUUCUUAUUACUGAAAAAUUGUAAUGCACCUGUGCGUAUUGUAAAUGCUUCAAGUAGUGUUGAUGCUUGUUUGCCAAAAUGCGAUGUAACAGAGAUGACGGUCUUCUUCAAUUUGUCUUUAUAUUUUUUUAGGUCACACUGCCACUGAUUCAGCACCGUUGUAUUUUCCAGAAGGUAAAGGCAGUGACAUGUUGCUUUGAAAUUUCACAAUUUAUCGUUUAUCUCACGUUGCAAAUGCACCUUCAAGUUCCGAAUGUGACGCACUGCCAGCUUGUUCAACAGCUUGUUCAGCAGGUGCGGAAACCACCCAUGAAUCGAGCUGCCAGCCAUUUCAAGCUUUGACGGUGCCUGUUGAGUCUCAGCAGAACUUUUGUGCUGCCUGUGGAGGAUUUCUGUCUCCUGAGGGCACAGCUGAUGUUACCGGUAAGUGUUCAGUGCUACUGUUCUCACACACUAUGCAAUAUACACUUGAGUCUGACACAUUGCCGCUUACAGGAAAUUACGUGCACGCUCCUAACAGAUUGAUAUAUUGGUGCAUUUAAUAGUGCGGAUGCCCUACAAGUACUGGUGCCCUGUUUUGUUUCUUUUGCUGUAUGCUCCUUCUUGUAAAGCGAGAGUAGUCGCACACAACAUAACUUUAUUGGAGGAACAUGUAAGCUGUGAUUUGUGUAGAGUAAUGCAUAGUACAUUGCUACACACUGCGCAGCAUCAUCACUCUAUCACUUGUGACACGCAAUCAGCUACCGUCUUGUAGCAACUCUGUCAAAAAAAGCUGCAACAGUGGAACCAUGGCACUCUCCCCACUUUGUUUGAAAUAACCACCGCCAUUGAUAACCCUACGUCAUAACCGAGAGUA